UGGGGAAUAUUGGACAAUGGGCGAAAGCCUGAUCCAGCCAUGCCGCGUGUGUGAAGAAGGUCUUCGGAUUGUAAAGCACUUUAAGUUGGGAGGAAGGGCAUUAACCUAAUACGUUAGUGUUUUGACGUUACCGACAGAAUAAGCACCGGCUAACUCUGUGCCAGCAGCCGCGGUAAUACAGAGGGUGCAAGCGUUAAUCGGAAUUACUGGGCGUAAAGCGCGCGUAGGUGGUUUGUUAAGUUGGAUGUGAAAUCCCCGGGCUCAACCUGGGAACUGCAUUCAAAACUGACUGACUAGAGUAUGGUAGAGGGUGGUGGGAUUUCCUGUGUAGCGGUGAAAUGCGUAGAUAUAGGAAGGAACACCAGUGGCGAAGGCGACCACCUGGACUAAUACUGACACUGAGGUGCGAAAGCGUGGGGAGCAAACA
RNAcentral lists this ribosomal RNA (427 nucleotides) under uncultured bacterium. RNAcentral describes it as "partial 16S ribosomal RNA". It matches the Rfam family "Bacterial small subunit ribosomal RNA", at positions 355 to 774 of the family's 1533-position model. The record is from RNAcentral.